This 557-nucleotide ribosomal RNA is filed under the name uncultured Streptomyces sp. RNAcentral describes it as "bacterial LSU rRNA". It matches the Rfam family "Bacterial large subunit ribosomal RNA", at positions 2173 to 2729 of the family's 2925-position model. The record is from RNAcentral. Lineage: Bacteria; Bacillati; Actinomycetota; Actinomycetes; Kitasatosporales; Streptomycetaceae.
CGUUACGGUGGAGUCAUUGUUGAAAUACCACUCUGGUCGUGCUGGAUGUCUAACCUCGGUCCGUGAUCCGGAUCAGGGACAUUGCCUGGUGGGUAGUUUAACUGGGGCGGUUGCCUCCUAAAGGGUAACGGAGGCGCCCAAAGGUUCCCUCAGCCUGGUUGGCAAUCAGGUUUUGAGUGUAAGUGCACAAGGGAGCUUGACUGUGAGACUGACAGGUCGAGCAGGGACGAAAGUCGGGACUAGUGACCCGGCGGUGGCUUGUGGAAGCGCCGUCGCUCAACGGAUAAAAGGUACCCCGGGGAUAACAGGCUGAUCUUGCCCAAGAGUUCAUAUCGACGGCAUGGUUUGGCACCUCGAUGUCGGCUCGUCGCAUCCUGGGGCUGGAGUAGGUCCCAAGGGUUGGGCUGUUCGCCCAUUAAAGCGGUACGCGAGCUGGGUUUAGAACGUCGUGAGACAGUUCGGUCCCUAUCCGCUGUGCGCGUAGGAAACUUGAGAAGGGCUGUCCCUAGUACGAGAGGACCGGGAUGGACGAACCUCUGGUGUGUCAGUUGUUCUGC